AGGACAGGGAUUAAGGAACCUGCAGAGAAAGAGAAGAACAAAUAAAAAAAUAAUAGAUCACCAAACCUCAUAUUACAAUAUGAAUAACUACUAGGCUAAGAAGUUAAGUAAAUGCUGCUCUUGUUCAUUCAUGCAAUCACAAUAUCAUAUAAAAAUUAAUGAUUUUAAAAAUAUUGAUAUUUUGAACACAUCCUGGUUCUGCCUUAAUUCAAAUGGAUAAACAAACAGGAAUAACAUGAUCAGGGUUCUUGUAUACACUUUAUAUAUGUAUAUAUAUAUCCCCCAAUAACCCCUCAAUAAGCAUUUACACGUCCAAAAUAAAAUUAUGAGUUUAUUUCCAAGAAAAAAAAAAAAACAUGUUGUGUAUAUAUAUUUAGCCUAUAUUAGGGGUGUAUUGAUUCAUCGAUAUGGAUCGAUGCAUCGAUAGCACCUAAAAAAAACACCUAAAUAACCUUUGUAAAAUCAAAAACGAUUAAUCUAUAUUUAGUUUUAAACAGUGAAGACUAUGCAGUUAUUUACAUUUGAUAUAUUAGGGGUGUAUUGAUUCAUCGAUAUGGAUCGAUCGAUGCAUCGAUAGCACACGUACAAUAUCGAUAUAAAUAGGCAGCUUAUUUGACACUGUCUACAUAUUCACAUAAUGUCCGUCAACGGGUGCAUUCUCGUUCAAACUCACCGAUUAGGACUCGGUAUAAGGCACAAGGUGAGCAUAUAAAACGCUCGGGAUUGUUCGCGGAACAGUCGAGCGCUGUGUGUUUCACCGCACACAUCUGAAGCGCGUGCAUGCACACAGACAGCCGCACGCGCGAAUACUAAACUGAGCUAUCUUCCGCUUUUUUUGUGCAUGGAUCAAUAAAUACAUAAUUACAUCUAAAUGCGCGUUUUGGGGAAUAUCCUAGUAAACACAGUCGGUUAGGCAUACGUCUUAACGUUAACAGUUCAGAAAUAAAAGGCAUGUGUAUAUUAAACCCGUGAUUGGUUCUUAAAGUGAAAGCAUAAUAAUAAAUCUAAUGCUGUCAAAGAAAAAUACAAGUGCUCACUGCUUCUGACUAAAUAACCUUUGUAACAUCAAAAACGAUUAACACAUACACUCAGCGCACACACAUUCUUCACAGGGCAAUGGCAGAGUCAUCAGAGUGACUCAGCCCCCUCCUUUUUCUCACACAGAGAGAGUGGCCUCGGAGUGAGAUCAGAUGACUGACAGUUUUUUAAUUUUCUGUUAUCCAUAGAGCACUGAAAAGUCGUGAAACUAUGCAUAUUUGCUCAGAAUGACUUAUCCUCUAUAUAUAAAAAUUUUGAAGUGUUUGGAAGCUGCACUUUAAGAAAUAUAAGACAAUUUAUGUUUACUUUUUUACUGUUAUUUCAAUAAAUCACUACAGCAAAACCGUUCAAGCUAUCCAAAAUCCAUUCGCAAUUUAAGUUCCUCAAUGUUUUGGCAUCAUGUAGACAAAGUUUGGUGUGUAUACUGUAAUUCUCCUCUGAGCAGUAUGCAUUAAUUCACAGCUAUAUUUUUCCAAAAAUCCAUAUUCAAAUCAAUAUAACCGCCUUCCUGUUCAUCGUAGCUGAUGACUGUGAAUUAGAAAGUUGUCCGUCUUGAUAAGAACAAUUUAUGUACCGAGUUUGGUGUCUGUAGCUAAAAACUAACCCCCUCACUUUUGACAAAAGGUGGCGCUAUAGAG
Molecule: long non-coding RNA, 1676 nt
Organism: Cyprinus carpio carpio
Lineage: Eukaryota; Metazoa; Chordata; Actinopteri; Cypriniformes; Cyprinidae
Source: Ensembl